RNAcentral lists this ribosomal RNA (953 nucleotides) under uncultured Desulfobacteraceae bacterium. RNAcentral describes it as "bacterial SSU rRNA". It matches the Rfam family "Bacterial small subunit ribosomal RNA", at positions 48 to 975 of the family's 1533-position model. The record is from RNAcentral. Lineage: Bacteria; Pseudomonadati; Thermodesulfobacteriota; Desulfobacteria; Desulfobacterales; Desulfobacteraceae.
CUUACACAUGCAAGUCGAACGAGAAAGUCUUUGCUUGCAAAGACGAGUAGAGUGGCGCACGGGUGAGUAACACGUAGAUAAUCUACCUUCAAGCCUGGAAUAACUAUUCGAAAGGAUAGCUAAUACCGGAUAAAGUUUUUAACAUAAGUUAAAUUAUGAAAGAUUGCCUCUUCUUGAAAGCAAUUGUUUGGAGAUGAGUCUGCGGACCAUUAGUUUGUUGGUGGGGUAGAGGCCUACCAAGACUACGAUGGUUAGCUGGUCUGAGAGGAUGAUCAGCCACACUGGAACUGGUACACGGUCCAGACUCCUACGGGAGGCAGCAGUGAGGAAUUUUGCGCAAUGGGGGAAACCCUGACGCAGCAACGCCGCGUGAGUGAAGAAGGCCCUUGGGUCGUAAAGCUCUGUCGACAGGGAAGAAAUUACAAUUAUCCAAUAGGUGAUUGUAUUGACGGUACCUGUAGAGGAAGCACCGGCUAACUCCCUGCCAGCAGCCGCGGUAAUACGGGGGGUGCAAGCGUUAUUCGGAAUUAUUGGGCGUAAAGGGCGCGUAGGCGGUCUUGUCGGUCAGAUGUGAAAGCCCAGGGCUCAACCCUGGACGUGCAUUUGAAACAGCAAGACUUGAAUACUGGAGAGGAGAGCGGAAUUCCUGGUGUAGAGGUGAAAUUCGUAGAUAUCAGGAGGAACACCGAUGGCGAAGGCAGCUCUCUGGACAGAUAUUGACGCUGAGGCGCGAAGGCGUGGGUAGCGAACAGGAUUAGAUACCCUGGUAGUCCACGCAGUAAACGAUGUUCACUAGAUGUAGCGGGUAUUAAAACUUGCUGUGUCGCAGCUAACGCAUUAAGUGAACCGCCUGGGGAGUACGGUCGCAAGACUAAAACUCAAAGGAAUUGACGGGGGCCCGCACAAGCGGUGGAGCAUGUGGUUUAAUUCGACGCAACGCGAAGAACCUUACC